Molecule: ribosomal RNA, 271 nt
Filed under: Segatella copri
Lineage: Bacteria; Pseudomonadati; Bacteroidota; Bacteroidia; Bacteroidales; Prevotellaceae
Description: partial 16S ribosomal RNA
Rfam family: Bacterial small subunit ribosomal RNA
Source: RNAcentral
ACAAUGGAGAGUUUGAUCCUGGCUCAGGAUGAACGCUAGCUACAGGCUUAACACAUGCAAGUCGAGGGGAAACGAUAUUGGAAGCUUGCUUCCGAUAGGCGUCGACCGGCGCACGGGUGAGUAACGCGUAUCCAACCUGCCCAUCACUUGGGGAUAACCUUGCGAAAGUAAGACUAAUACCCAAUGAUAUCUCUAGAAGACAUCUGAAAGAGAUUAAAGAUUUAUCGGUGAUGGAUGGGGAUGCGUCUGAUUAGCUUGUUGGCGGGGUAAC